RNAcentral lists this unclassified non-coding RNA (371 nucleotides) under uncultured Simkaniaceae bacterium. RNAcentral's name for it is "contains 16S-23S intergenic spacer region". The record is from RNAcentral. Lineage: Bacteria; Pseudomonadati; Chlamydiota; Chlamydiia; Parachlamydiales; Simkaniaceae.
UCCGGUUUGUCACCGGCAGUCUCCCUAGAGUGCCCUUGCGUAGCAACUAGGGACAAGGGUUGCGCUCGUUGCUGGACUUAACCAGACACCUCACGGCACGAGCUGACGACAGCCAUGCAGCACCUAUAUAACGGUCCUUGCGGAAAAUAUCGUUUCUGAUAUCGUCCAUUACAUUUCGAGCCUGGGUAAGGUUCUUCGCGUUGCAUCGAAUUAAACCACAUGCUCCACUGCUUGUGCGGGCCCCCGUCAAUUCUUUUGAGUUUCACCCUUGCGAGCGUACUCCCCAGGCGGUAUACUUAUCGCGUUAGCUUCGACACAAUCAGGGUUGAGCCCAAUUACAUCAAGUAUACAUCGUUUACGGCAAGGACUAC